Molecule: ribosomal RNA, 210 nt
Filed under: Xylaria aristata
Lineage: Eukaryota; Fungi; Ascomycota; Sordariomycetes; Xylariales; Xylariaceae
Description: partial large subunit ribosomal RNA
Source: RNAcentral
AAGCGUUUGCGACCAGACCUUUUCCUUGGGGAUCAUCCGGUGUUCUCACCGGUGCACUUCCCUUGGUUUAGGCCAGCAUCGGUUUCUGUAGGGGGAUAAAAACUUGAGGAAUGUAGCUCCCUCGGGAGUGUUAUAGCCUCUUGUAUAAUACCCUUCCGGGGACCGAGGACCGCGCUUCGGCAAGGAUGCUGGCAUAAUGGUCGUCAACGA